Long non-coding RNA from Dipodomys ordii (Ord's kangaroo rat), 171 nucleotides. RefSeq lists it as uncharacterized. The transcript has 2 exons. Lineage: Eukaryota; Metazoa; Chordata; Mammalia; Rodentia; Heteromyidae. The record is from RefSeq and is a predicted model, not a curated record.
UCCUGGGGAGCAUUUCCCAGCGCGGUCCUGGUUGUGUGACACACGGCCACAAAUUCAGAGUCCAGCUGCCCUUCAACCUGGAUGCGAAAAGCAAAGCCACCGUGCUGGCCGCCAGCUUCCUCGUGGAUUAUAUGUAUUUUGAAUUCUGCCCCUAAGAAUGAGUGUCAAAAA